UAAUGGCGAACGAACGGGGAAGAGCUCGUAGCCGAAUCCCGCAUCGUACGGUGCGGGAAAUGUGGCGUAUGGGAGGCGACACUCUCCGAGUGCGGCCGGCGGUGCAAGUCCCCAUGAGAGGGGCAUCUUGCCCGGAGCGGGUGCUAGGCCCUUAACGCCUCUGGCCCGCGCGCGGAGUCGUCGUUCUCCUUGGAGUCGGGUUGCUUGGGAGUGCAGCCCAAAGCGGGUGGUAAACUCCACCUAAGGCUAAAUACGACCGAGAGACCGAUAGCAAACAAGUACCAUGAGGGAAAGUUGAAAAGCACUUUGAAGAGAGAGUUCAAGAGUACGUGAAACCGUUCAGAGGUAAACGGGUGGGGCCUCGAAGUCCGAUGGCGGUGGCGGAUUCAGCCUGGGCCWUAUAUCUGCGCCACGGGACGACGCCGCAGAAGCGGGACAGUUCUGGUGCGUAACGRUUAUGGACCGGCGCAUUUCCGUACCCCGCCCCAAGGGCGUCGCAACGGGUUGGGAGGCCGUCGUAAGGGCCGGUCGGAAGGUGGCCACCUUUCUCCUUUGCGGGAUYGGAGGUGUUAUAGACGACCGGAUCCCGACGAUCGCCCGACCGUGGAGAUCUUGACGUUCCCUCCUCGAGCUUGGAGCGACGUGGCGUGCUUUUAUUCGGUAGACGGAGGUGCCACCGAGCCGUGAGCCCCCGCUCUCUCCGUUAAUCGUUACGCCUUCGUUGCUGCGGAACAGAAGGUUUGCGGCGAGUAGKUCGGUUACCCACCCGACCCGUCUUGAAMCACGGACCAAGGAKUCCAAUGCUCGUGCGAGUUUCUGGGACUUGAAAAGGCCCGGGGGCGAAAUGAAGGUAAAGGGAAACUCGUUUCCCCAGUUGGGAUCCCUCGAGGGGGCRCACCAMCGGCCCGCNUAGUAGUCGUUUCGGCUUGGCGGAGCUAGAGCACGAGCCUUGGGACCCGAAAGAUGGUGAACUAUGCCUGGGCAGGAUGAAGCCAGAGGAAACUCUGGUGGAGGUCCGUAGCGAUUCUGACGUGCAAAUCGAUCGUC
Molecule: ribosomal RNA, 1047 nt
Filed under: Solinus sp. PSE222
Lineage: Eukaryota; Metazoa; Arthropoda; Arachnida; Pseudoscorpiones; Garypinidae
Description: partial large subunit ribosomal RNA
Source: RNAcentral